GGAACCGUGCCCGAACGCCCAGGGACCACUUUGAUAGAGUGACCCACAGGGGUUAAAAUCCCCUCGGUUCUU
RNAcentral lists this transfer RNA (72 nucleotides) under Rhodeus pseudosericeus. Its description in RNAcentral is "tRNA-Ile". Lineage: Eukaryota; Metazoa; Chordata; Actinopteri; Cypriniformes; Acheilognathidae. The record is from RNAcentral.